CCUACGGGCGGCAGCAGUGAGGAAUAUUGGUCAAUGGUCGGGAGACUGAACCAGCCAAGCCGCGUGAGGGAUGAAGGUACAGAGUAUCGUAAACCUCUUUUGUCAGGGAACAAAGGCGGGGACGUGUCCCCGGAUGAGUGUACCUGAAGAAAAAGCAUCGGCUAACUCCGUGCCAGCAGCCGCGGUAAUACGGAGGAUGCGAGCGUUAUCCGGAUUUAUGGGGUUAAAAGGGUGCGCAGGCGGUCUGUUAAGUCAGCGGUCAAAGCCCGGGGAACAACCCCGGCCCGCCGUUGAAACUGGCAGUAUCGAGUGGGAGAGAAGUAUGCGGAAUGCGCGGUGUAGCGGUGAAAUGCAUAGAUAUCGCGCAGAACUCCGAUUGCGAAGGCAGCAUGCCGGCUCCACACUGACGCUGAGGCACGAAAGCGUGGGUAUCGAACAGGAUUAGAUACCCUAGUAGUC
This 459-nucleotide ribosomal RNA is filed under the name uncultured bacterium. RNAcentral describes it as "partial 16S ribosomal RNA". It matches the Rfam family "Bacterial small subunit ribosomal RNA", at positions 338 to 795 of the family's 1533-position model. The record is from RNAcentral.